This 673-nucleotide ribosomal RNA is filed under the name uncultured archaeon. Its description in RNAcentral is "bacterial SSU rRNA". It matches the Rfam family "Archaeal small subunit ribosomal RNA", at positions 1 to 653 of the family's 1478-position model. The record is from RNAcentral.
UUCCGGUUGAUCCCGCCGGACCCGACUGCUAUCGGAGUGGGACUAAGCCAUGCGAGUCGAACGCCCCGGGCUGGCGGGGCGUGGCGUACGGCUCAGUAACACGUGGCCAACCUGCCCUGCGGACGGCUAUAACCCCGGGAAACUGGGGCUAAUAGCCGAUAGGGGAUAGGCGCUGGAAGGCCCUAUCCCCGAAAGGGCUACACACCCAUGCCGUGUGUAGCCGCCGCAGGAUGGGGCUGCGCCCUAUCAGGUAGUAGGUGGGGUAACGGCCCACCUAGCCUAUAACGGGUGCGGGCCCUGGGAGGGGGAGCCCGGAGAUGGGCACUGAGACAAGGGCCCAGGCCCUACGGGGCGCAGCAGGCGCGAAACCUCCGCUAUGCGCGAAAGCGCGACGGGGCCACUCCGAGUGCCGCCCGCUGAGGGCGGCUUUUGCCCAGUCCAAAAGGCUGGGCGAAUAAGGGGAGGGCAAGAUUGGUGUCAGCCGCCGCGGUAAUACCAACUCCCCGAGUGGUCGGGACGAUUAUUGGGCUUAAAGCGUUCGUAGCCGGUCGGGUGUGUCGUCGGUUAAAUCCGACGUCUCAAGCGUCCGGACUGCCGGCGAUACUACCCGGCUAGGGAGCGGGAGAGCGGCCGGUAUUCUCGGGGUAGGGGUAAAAUCCUCAGAUUCCCGGGA